UCCGUAGGCGGUGUGGCAAGUCGGUAGCGAAACCUCUGGGCUUAACCCAGAGACUGCUGCCGAAACUGCUGUGCUAGAGUGUGAGAGAGGCGAGUGGAAUUACGGGUGUAGCGGUGAAAUGCGUAGAUAUCCGUAGGAACAUCCGAGGCGAAAGCGGCUCGCUGGAUCACAACUGACGCUGAGGGACGAAAGCUAGGGAGCAAACAGGAUUAGAUACCCUGGUAGUCCUAGCCCUAAACCAUCAGGACUUGGGGUUUGCCCUGUACGGGGCAAGUCCCGUAGCUAACGCGUUAAGUCCUGCGCCUGGGAGUACGGUCGCAAGGCUGAA
RNAcentral lists this ribosomal RNA (328 nucleotides) under uncultured bacterium. RNAcentral describes it as "bacterial SSU rRNA". It matches the Rfam family "Bacterial small subunit ribosomal RNA", at positions 568 to 898 of the family's 1533-position model. The record is from RNAcentral.